GAUGAACGCUGGCGGCGUGCCUAAUACAUGCAAGUCGAGCGAACAGAUAAGGAGCUUGCUCCUUUGACGUUAGCGGCGGACGGGUGAGUAACACGUGGGUAACCUACCUAUAAGACUGGGAUAACUUCGGGAAACCGGAGCUAAUACCGGAUAAUAUUUCGAACCGCAUGGUUCGAUAGUGAAAGAUGGUUUUGCUAUCACUUAUAGAUGGACCCGCGCCGUAUUAGCUAGUUGGUAAGGUAACGGCUUACCAAGGCGACGAUACGUAGCCGACCUGAGAGGGUGAUCGGCCACACGGGAACUGAGACACGGUCCAGACUCCUACGGGAGGCAGCAGUAGGGAAUCUUCCGCAAUGGGCGAAAGCCUGACGGAGCAACGCCGCGUGAGUGAUGAAGGUCUUCGGAUCGGAAAACUCUGUUAUUAGGGAAGAACAUACGUGUAAGUAACUGUGCACGUCUUGACGGUACCUAAUCAGAAAGCCACGGCUAACUACGUG
RNAcentral lists this ribosomal RNA (497 nucleotides) under uncultured bacterium. RNAcentral describes it as "partial 16S ribosomal RNA". It matches the Rfam family "Bacterial small subunit ribosomal RNA", at positions 28 to 507 of the family's 1533-position model. The record is from RNAcentral.